UGAUAAUUGUAUGCUUUGUCUCUUUUUGUCUAUUAGGGGGUUAAAAGUGUCAGGAAAGUGGGUACCAUUGACCUUUAACCUUUUUCACAGAGCUGUUCAUAGUAGAGACCCUGAUGUAAGAAAGGGCUCUUUGUUACGGCCCUGGAGUAUCCACUCUCCUCAUGUACAACAGAGCGAGCUCUGACCUCAGUGUACUGGACCCCGCAGAUGCAUGUGACCUUCCCAUGAAGUGCAUUUGGAGAAGUCACACCGUGCUGCCACCAGUUCGGUUCUUGGAAAGCACGCCUCAAAAUUCAAUCACACACGAGCACCAUCCAGGCACCCAACUCCACCCCCUUGUUGACUUGAUUAAGGUCUUCGAGAGCCGGGUGUCAGGACUCUAUUGAGAUGUCGAAGGUGGGGGUCCGGUGACCCGAGCAGGGAGUCUUUCACGGGGAAGGUCAUCAGUCAAUGUUCCUGUCAGACGGAGAUCACACGGAUGUCUGCGGCCCUCCGUAGUAAUUACACUUGACUGGGGAUGAGGAGAUGUCUUCUUCUUUGGGCCUACAAUGACUGCAUAAUUUAUAAUCAACGGCAAUCAGGCAAACGUGACAUUGAGGGGAAAGCAAAUGAACACUU
Molecule: long non-coding RNA, 618 nt
Organism: Cyprinus carpio carpio
Lineage: Eukaryota; Metazoa; Chordata; Actinopteri; Cypriniformes; Cyprinidae
Source: Ensembl